Molecule: unclassified non-coding RNA, 1439 nt
Filed under: uncultured Neocallimastigales
Lineage: Eukaryota; Fungi; Neocallimastigomycota; Neocallimastigomycetes; Neocallimastigales
Description: partial contains small subunit ribosomal RNA, internal transcribed spacer 1, 5.8S ribosomal RNA, internal transcribed spacer 2, and large subunit ribosomal RNA
Rfam family: Eukaryotic large subunit ribosomal RNA (bases 661-1439)
Source: RNAcentral
UUUCCGUAGGUGAACCUGCGGAAGGAUCAUUAAAAAAUUGGACUCCAUUGGUGAGUUCAUUAAUAAUCCCUACCCUUUGUGAAUUUGUUUGUUUGAAUAAUUUUUUUUCCAAAAAAAAUUAUUGAAUGUCUUUCCUUGUUUUGGUGGAGCUUGUAGAGUGAAACCAGGCAGGGGAAUGGCAAACAAUAAUUAUUUUUGAAAAAGACCUUUUUUUAAAAUUAAACUUUUUGUAUUCAUUUGUCUAAAAUUAAUUUUUAUAAUAUAAAAACAACUUUUGACAAUGGAUCUCUUGGUUCUCGCAACGAUGAAGAACGCAGCAAAAUGCGAUAAGUAGUGUGAAUUGCAGAAUACGUGAAUCAUCGAAUCUUCGAACGCAUAUUGCACUUUUUUAGUUUACUAAAAAAGUAUGUCUGUUUGAGUAUCAGUAAAAUAUUCUCAUAAAAAACAUUGUUUUUUUUAUGGUUAUGAGUGUUUUACAACGAUAACAAGUUGUUUCACUUUAAAUUCUUUGUUAUCAAAAAAAUCAUUAAAAGCUAAUUUUAAAGAUUUUUUAAAAUUGGAUAAAAUUUUCCCGUAAAAAGGAAUAACCUAAACAAUUUUAAAAAAUUAAAAUUGGUUUGAUUUUUUUGAAACCCAAAGGAAAAAAAAACGAAAUUAACUUGAUCUCAAAUCAGAUAAGAGUACCCGCUGAACUUAAGCAUAUCAAUAAGCGGAGGAAAAGAAACUAACUAGGAUUCCCUCAGUAACGGCGAGUGAAGCGGGAAGAGCUCAAAUUUGAAAUCUUCCAGGUUUUACCUUGACGAAUUGUAGUUUAAAGAAGUGUUUUCUGUUGGAGUUUUGGUAAAGUUCUUUGGAAAAGGACAUCAUAGAGGGUGAGAAUCCCGUAUUUGACCAUUAUCUCCAGCUUUGUGAUACACUUUCAAAGAGUCGGAUUGUUUGGGAAUGCAGUCCAAAAUGGGUAGUAAAUUUCAUCUAAAGCUAAAUACUGGCGAGAGACCGAUAGCGAACAAGUACCGUGAGGGAAAGAUGAAAAGAACUUUGAAAAGAGAGUUAAACAGUACGUGAAAUUGUCAAAAGGGAAGCGUUUGACACCAGUGUUGUUUUCUCGAAAAUCAAUUAAAAAAGGCCGGAUUUUGUGUUGUAUUGACUUUAUCAGCUUUCUGCACUCUUUUCUUGUCUUUUUUAAUGCACUUUUCGUUUAACAAGUCAACAUCAAUUUCUUUUGUUGUAAAAGGGUCAUUGGAAGGUGGCUUUCUUUUCGGAGAAAGUGUUUAUAGCCUUUGGCCUCUGCAAUCGGAGAGAUUGAGGUCUGCAGCGUAGAUCCUUCGGGGUUAGAUACAUUUGUGCUAAGUUAUAGCCUUUCAUAGACAACUUGUUGACUAUGAUCAGUCAUGUAGCUUACUCGCUUAUGCUAUUUUACCUACGCUUAGGAUGUUGAG